AUAUAUAUAACUCCUUGUUUUCAUUUUUUUUUCUUUCCUCAUCGUCAAAUGAACAUAACCCUCAAGAAUCUAUCAUCCUCUUUCACCUUACGUUUUCUUCCUUUUUAUCCUUUAUUUUCAUUUUAAUCUUUCACCGCCAUGGCCGACGGUGGCGGCGACACACCCUCUCCGGCAACAUCAUCCAUUCCUUUGGCUUCUACAAUAAUCAAUUUUAAUUUCCAAGGAAGGAGAAAAUAUGGACAUGGAUUUAACAGUAACCUCCAUACCCCAAGUGGUUUAUUCAAUCAUAAUAUCUAUUUGCAUGGCGACGUAGGUGAACGGUACGCACUCAUUUUCUCAACUCUAAUUAAGCCCACGUUAUAAUCUUUGUAGUUAUAUUACAUAAUACAUAUUUAGCUACAAAACAUCGUCUAAGCUAUUUUUUUUUUCAAGGAAAUAGUUUUAUUAUCUUAUGAUUAAAGGAUUUAGGGUUAGAAACAAUUAUUUAUACGUUGGGGUUUGAGAUAUAAGGUUUGUAUUUAUGUUAGGAACCAGAAAGUAAGAUAUAGUGUUCGUAUGAAUCAUUUUGUUUCUUCCUUAGUGUAAAGGUUGCUGAGAUUAUUUAUUUUUGAAGGGAAGAACAAGGAAAUAAAAAGAUGAGGAAAAAGGAAGGAUUGUGUAUGGUCAAAAUAUAGUCUAAAUUAUUGUUUAUUAUUAUUAUUUACAGAAAAUAGGAUUGUGUUUAAAUAUGAAUUAAAAAGUUAAAACAUUAGCAAUUUGUUGGGGAAGAUUGAGGUUUAGUCAAUAGUAAAAAUAGUGUUUAAAUUAUUCCUUUACAAGAACAUAUCCUAUUUUGGAUACAAGUAGAAGAAAAAGGGUAGGAUACAAUAAAUUAUAUUUAUGUUAUUAUUGAAAAUAUGACAUACAUAUUUUAAUUUACAUAAAAGAGACAUUUUGGAGAAAUGAGGAAGCAAAAAAAAAAAAAAAAAAAAAAAAAAAAAAAAAAAAAAAAAAAAAAAAAAAAGAGGAAUAAGGAAGGGAAAAGAAAAAGAAAAAAAAUCUAGGAGGGAUAAGGAAGGGGAAAAAAAAAAAAGAAAAAAAAUAGGGAGGAAUAAGGAAGGGAAAAAAAUAUAUGGAGGAAUAAGGAAGGGAAAAAAAGAAAAAAAAAUAUGGAGGAAUAAGGAAGGGAAAAAAAGAAAAAAAAAUAUGGAGGAAUAAGGAAGGGAAAAAAAAAGAAAAAAAAUAGGGAGGGAUAAGGAAGGGAAAAAAAAAGAAAAAAAAUAGGAGGAAUAAGGAAGGGAAAAAAAAAAGAAGAAAAAAAAAAGAGGAGGAACAAGGAUGGAAAAAAGAAAAAGAAGAAAAAUAAAAUAAAUAACAUAGAAUAAAAUAUUCUCUAUUUUAUAUAAAUUAAAAUAUGUAUGUAUUAUUUUCAGUACGUAAGCCAUAAGGUGGGUGUAUUGUAUUUAAGUUAAGUACUAGGAAUUAAGAUUUAAGUUAUUCUUCUCUUUCUUUAAGAAAAACAUAGGAAUUAAGAAAAAAAAAAACAAUUGAAGGAAUAAGGAAGGAUAAAA
Cucumis melo (muskmelon) is the source of this 1550-nucleotide RNA transcript. RefSeq lists it as uncharacterized. Lineage: Eukaryota; Viridiplantae; Streptophyta; Magnoliopsida; Cucurbitales; Cucurbitaceae. The transcript has 2 exons. The record is from RefSeq and is a predicted model, not a curated record.